UACAUGGUUCCUUGGCAACAUUCUUCCUCCUCAUUUCUUUUAAGAACUUGGGAGUUUGAAUCUGAACAUUUGCCUACUAUUUACAUUAAAUAAUUGCCUUGCCUUUAGCAAGCUGGACUACACUUAACAUAUGCCCUUUGGUGGAGUGGAGACGACUUGUCUGUCCUGUCCAAGCUUAAACACCAAGGGAAUGACUUUAAAUCUUGCUGGAUGGAACUGCCACUCACCGCUAGAAAUCGGGGAUCAACAGCGAACUCUGGAUGACCCUGUAACCACAUCUCCAGUUCAGCCCGGCGAGGGGCAUCCUCACCCACCAGCAAAGUACCAUCCACCUUAUUGAUGACAGGGAUCCGGGUCUCCAGGUCCACAUCAAGGUGAUUAGGCUCUUCCAUGCACUCCACCUCCAGCUGCAAACCCAGAAUCCACCCCCAUGAGCACAUACUCUUCUUUGGGGCAGGGAGGGAGGGGGAGUAGAGCCAAUGGUAGCCAUAAAAUAAUUCUAGUAUCUUCUAGUCCCUUAAUCCCAACUGCCUUCAUCAAUUAGUAGGAAUAAAAAAAAUCUAAUCAUCACAUUAAAGACUUUUUCUAUCACUCA
Panthera uncia (snow leopard) is the source of this 595-nucleotide long non-coding RNA. RefSeq lists it as uncharacterized. The transcript has 2 exons. Lineage: Eukaryota; Metazoa; Chordata; Mammalia; Carnivora; Felidae. The record is from RefSeq and is a predicted model, not a curated record.